Cyprinus carpio carpio is the source of this 1006-nucleotide long non-coding RNA. The record is from Ensembl. NCBI's taxonomy places the organism in Eukaryota, Metazoa, Chordata, Actinopteri, Cypriniformes, Cyprinidae.
UGUGGGUUUAUUAAAGUAUUAUUAUAUUCUUCAUCUUUGUCAUCCUGCCUGAUCUCUAGCACACCAUACCGUGGCAGAAUUACCAACCCUGAAAAAAGUAUAAAAUAGCGAUGCCCUUCUCUCCGUUUUGUUUCCAUUUUUUUUCCAGUUUUUAUUUUUCAGUCAUGGAUUAUUUAAAAGAUCUCCUUCCCGUCCUUCAACUCAGCCACCAUCCAGAUGUCCACUCGGCGAUCUUUGUAGAGAUCGCCAAUCAUUCCAGCAACCUGGACAGCAGCCUCUGUGGAUUCUACCUGUCAAGCCUCAACGAGGAGUGCAGAGCGCAGCUGUCUAGAGGUGGACCUCGGGAAUCAUUCGCCGCCUUUGUGGAGUGGGUGCUGGUGAGCAACAAAUCACAUAUGGACCUGCCAAGGAGCAUCUCACCAGUCCCACUCCAGACCUAGAGCCCACCACGGCCGACGAGCCAUCGCCGAAGAGAGCGACCGAGCUGAGGAUCGCCUUGGAGCUUGAACUGGACCUGUCUGACCAGGUGCGUGAGCCGGCAAAUGAGCGUGCGCAGGUAGCAGAUGCAAGGGAGCACGAGGGCUUGGAAGAGAACCAAUCCCACUGCACCACCGCUGAGGGUGAACAGCUGCUGAACUCUGGGGAAUCUAUGGACUUAAACAUGGAUUUAUAUGUGGACACCCACAAAUCCCCACCCACCCGUCCUCUCCAGCCUCAUAUUGUCACUGAUGCAUCAGCCCUGCCAUCAUCUGCCACUUUGCCGCUGCUUCCUGUCUGCCCUGUUGCUCACCCUCAGCCCACCAUCUGUGCGGUGGGAUCGCCGUGGGUCUGCCAGUCUCCAUCGGCAUCAUGGCUGGUGGAUCCCUCUUCUCCUCCUCCAGCCUCUGAGUCCCUGACUCCACCUCGGCCCUUCGACCACAGUGGCUCCACCAUGGCCCAUCAGUCCACCAGCUCCACCGGGCUCAAUCGUCCCUCCUGCUUCGCCUUGGUCAGUCGUUGACCGUCC